CCACCCGAUUCUAAGUUCUGUCCACAUAUCUCUUUGCAUAGCGGCCAAUAGCAAUUAGUACUCAAUUCAUCCUCAUUUAUAAUACGUUUGACUUUGUUGAAACCAAAUUUGACCACUUAUCUUAUUUAAAAAUUUAUGCAAAAUAUUACUUUUUUGUCAUGGCUUGAUUUAUUAAUAAAAGUUCUUCGAGAAUGACUUAAAUUUUGCUAUCUUUGCAUAAUCUUUUUGAAUAAAACGAGUGAUUAAAUUUAGAGUCAAAAAACUCAAAUGUGUUAUAGUUUAGGAUGGAGGGAGUAUUUCAGUUUAAAGCUCAGUGCUCACCACGGAAUAAGGCAGAUACGAGGAUGCGCAGCGCCAGAGACUGAGUAUAAGGAGAAAUCGACGUGGUGGGCGGCCGUAUUGCACUGUGGCAUCCGAAACCCUAACACGGGUGGCAUGGAAGGGGUGGAAUCCGGCAAAAAUGAUGCCCUAGAUGCCAGCGCGGACGGCGGAGGACGGGGCUGCGGCUGACGCGGGAGGCGCUGAGAACAGUAGGCAAGAGCGAGACCGGGGGGGAGGGCGACCAGAAAUCUUCCCGUCCGAACGUUUGGAGGGGAGACGUCGUCUGAUGAUUCCCGCGUUUGCCACGUAAAUACGUUUCCUUUUUAUUUUCUUUUGUUUUUUGUUUUUUGUUUUUUCUUUCCUUUUCUUUUCUUCUUAUUUUCUUUCUUUCUACGUUUCUUUUCUUUUUCCCUUUUGAAAGGAUCAAGAUGCCCAAGAGGGGGGUGAAUUGGGCUUCUCUAAAAAUUUAAGCAACCUAUAAGCUCCAAUUCAACCCCUUGUGCCUAGUGUGACUUAGAGAGCUACCGGAUAAAAAGUUUUGCAACCUAGUUCCAAUCCUAUUCUAGCAUGGCAAUUCUAAGAAUGUAAAAACACAAAGUAAAUGCUAGAAAGUAAAGGAGUAGUGGAAGAAAGUGCUCGGUGAUGUUUUGCCGAGGUAUCGGAGAGUCGCCACUCUCCACUAGUCCUCGUUGGAGCACCCGCGCAAGGGUCUUGCUCCCCCUUGGUCCGCGCAAGGACCAAGUGCUCUCUAUGGGCUGAUUCUUCGAAACUCCGUCUCGGUGAAUCGCCCAAAACCGCUUACAAGCUUGACACGAGCCACCCACAAGAACUCCGGGUGAUCUUCGUGCCUCCAAUCACCACCGAACCGUCUAGGUGAUGGCGAUCACCAAGAGUAACAAGCAAAGAACUCUCACUUGACCCAAACAAGGCACUAGAGAGUGGUGGAUGCACACUUGACUCUUGGAACUCACUAGAGGAGGAUUCUCUCAAGAAUUCACUCAAAUCUCAAUCCUCUCUAGGCUCUUUGCAACUCUCUUGCUCCACAACAAGUUUCUCUGAUGUUCAAAUGGGCAAGAGUGCUCUCAUGGACGAGGUGGAGGAGUAUAAAUACUAUCCACGAAGUCUAAAGGUCGGCCAACCGUUUUCCACUGAAAACGGGGUCACUGGACGCACGUUAUGUUGCACCGGACGCACUGCACCGAGCGUCCGGUGUGACAUAACGGCUACCUGCGCUUUUCUCUGACAGGUCACCGGACGCUAACUCGCAGCGUCCGGUGCACCGUCCGGUGCUCGGGGAAACUUUACAUGUUCCCUGCGCAUGGGACCGGACGCUACCCGGCGCGUCCGGUGCUAGCGUCCGGUGCUCAGGGGAACUUUGCAAGCUCCCUGGGUAAGGGACCGGACGCUGCCCGGUGCGUCCGGUGCCAGCGUCCGGUGCCUAACCCUAAGCACCAAACAGCUCCAACGGCUAAGGACCUCACCGGACGCACUCACAGAGCGUCCGGUGCCCCUUUGGGCACCCAAACCUCGUCGAAACGCGAUCGCUCCAACACGAAGUUAGUUCCUCUCGAUCUAAGGACUAUCUCUGAGCUGCCUAGUGCUAGGUUUACCAAGUGUGCACCACACCUAAACCUAAAGCCUUGCCUAAGUCAAGCUACUAGAUCAAAGCCCCUCUUAAUAGUACGGUCAAAGAAAAACAAGGUCCUAAACUACUCUAAGUGCCCUUCUUCACCAUGUGGCACUUAGACCUAGUCUAGUCUUGACGAUGUCCAUCCAUCCUUUGAAAACCGAAACGAUUUCCACUAUUAAGUAGGCAUGUACGUCCCUGUCCAUCGAGUACCUAUAUACCAUGACCUUACCUAUGACUUUGCCUCUGCAAAACACACGUUAGUCACAGUAAUCAAUAAUGUCAUUAAUCACCGAAAUCACUAGGGGCCUAGAUGCUCUUUCAAUCUCCCCCUUUUUGGUGAUUGAUGACAACCUCGAGUAUGAAAAGAGUUGAGGUUUUCAAAGUGACUUGGUUUCAAUAAGCAUAUUACAAUAAGAAUAAAAGGAUUAGUAAUGCUUAUAUCAACCAAGUCCAAUACCCUGCAUCCAAAUAUGUGAGUGGUAUACGACAGGAUAUAAACACUAGGCUCAUAAGUACAUCGGAGUAGAAACGCGGAAACAAAAGGUAAUAUGAGCCAAAACACAUGACAUUAAGAAAUCCCAUAAAGCACAAAUCAUGUCUCAUAACCAUAGUAUCUCACACAAGUGCAAUGCAAAAAGGUAAACAUGAUGCAUGAUAAAAAGCACACAUAAAGAGUAUCUCAAAAGAAUAAACUCCCUCUCUAGCUCCCCCUAAGUCCCUAACUCUCUCAUACGGGGGGUUGCUCAACAUAGACAAGCUCAUUAAUAUAACCAUUUAAAAAGGCACUUUUCACAUCCAUUUGAAAUAACUUGAUAUCAUGACUAGAUGCAUAUGCAAGUAGGAUACGGAUUGCUUCAAGUCUUGCCACCGGUGCAAAAGUUUCACCGAAGUCAAGACCUUCCACUUGUGGAAAGCCUUUUGCCACAAGUCUUGCCUUGUUGCGCACCACUUUGCCUUGAUCAUCCUUCUUGUUCCGGAAGACCCACUUUGUUCCAAUCACUCUUGCAUCUUUGGGUCGCUCUUCAAGUGUCCAUACUUGAUUGCGAGAGAAGUUGUUCAACUCCUCUUGCAUGGCCAUGAUCCAAUCCGCAUCACGAAGAGCUUCCUCUAUAGUCUUUGGUUCAUCUUCAAGAGACACAAAAGCGUGAUGUUCAAUAAAUAAAGCAUGUCUAGAACGAGUAGUUACACCACGUGAUGGACUCCCGAUGAUGAGAUCUUGAGAGUGAUCUUGGAGGAGAUGUGAUGUUCUUCUUGGUGUCACUUGAGGGGUUGGUUGGGGAGCAUCAACAUCUUGUGCUUGUGCCACCGCUUGCUCAUGAGUGACUUGGGUGUCUUCAUGAGCAUCUCUCACAUCCUUGUCUUCAUCUUGUGGACCUUGUGAGGUGGAUGGUGGCUCAAUGACUUGCACAUCAUCAUCAUCUUCUUUAGGCUUGAUGUCUCCCACCGGGAUGUUCUUCAUGGCAUCCCUCAAUGGUUCACCACCUACAUCAUCAAGAUUAUCACUUGCUCCUUGGGAGCCAUUAGUUUCAUCAAAUUCAACAUCAAAUGUUUCUUCAACCAUGUUUGUGGCAUGGUUAAAGACCCUAUAUGCUUUGGACUUUGAUGAAUAGCCAACCAAGUAGCCAAUGUCACAUCUUCUUUGGAACUUUCCCAAGUGUUGGCGCUUCUUGUAGAUGUAGCACUUGCACCCAAACACUCUAAAGAAUGAGACAUCGGGCUUCUUCCCAUUGAGCAACUCAUAUGGUGUCUUAUCUAGGAACUUGUGUGGAAAGAGCCGGUUUGAAGCAUAGCAUGACGUGUUGAUUGCCUCGGCCCACAUCUUCUCCGAAGUGUUAUACUCAUCUAGCAUUGUUCUUGCCAAGGUGAUCAAUGUCCGGUUCUUUCUUUCUACAACUCCAUUUUGUUGUGGUGUGUAUGUUGAGGAGAACUCAUGCUUGAUUCCCACUUCAUCACAAUAUUCUUCAAUGUUGGUGUUGUCAAACUCUUUGCCAUUGUCACUUCUAAUUUUCUUGAUCUUCACAUCAAAUUGAUUUUGGGCAUUCUUUGCAAAUUUCUUGAAUAUUGAUGCAACUUCGGCCUUGUCUUGCAAGAAGAAUGUCCAAGUGUACCGGGAGAAAUCAUCAACUAUGACCAAACAAUAUUUGUUGCCUCCAAGACUAGCAUAUGUGGUUGGUCCAAACAAAUCCAUGUGAAUUAGCUCAAGCACUCUUGAAGUAGAGAGAUAGGCUUUGGUUGGAUGAGUGUUUGCAACUUGUUUUCCCGCUUGACAUGCACUACAAAGCUUGUCCUUUUCAAAUGUCACAUCCUUCAAGCCUCUAAUCAAUUCUUUCUUCAUCAACUUCUUGAGUGUGCCCAUUCCAACAUGUGCUAACCUUCUAUGCCACAACCACCCAAGUGAAGUCUUGGUGAAUAAGCAAGUCUUGACAUUAACUUCAUUGGAUGAGAAGUCAACCACAUAUAAGUUGUUGUGCCGGAAGCCUUUGAAUAUCACUUCAUUGUCAUCUUCCUUGGUCACAAUUACUUCCUUCUUCUUGAAUAGGCAUUCAAAUCCAAGGUCACAUAAUUGUCCAACCGAGAGCAAAUUGAAACUCAAAGAUUGCACAUAGAGCACAUUGGUGAUGGAGUUGUCAUUUGAUAUAGCAACCUUUCCUAGUCCCUUGACUUUCCCUUUUGAAUUGUCACCAAAUGUGAUCUUCUCUUGAUUGUCAACAUCUUCAUCAAGAGAGGUGAACAUCCGGGGAUCUCCGGUCAUAUGUUGAGUGCAACCACUAUCAAUUACCCAAUGUGAUCCACCGGUCUUGUAGUUCACCUACACACAAGAGAUCAAGCUUGAGAUUUAGGGACCCACAUUUGCUUAGGGCCCUUGACCUUCUCUACUAGUUGCUUUGGCACCCAAAUCUUCUUUGUCCUUUGCUUGUUUGGUGGCCCCAUGAAGCUAACCUUGACCUUGCCACACUUGUCUUUUCUUACAAUGUAAUGAGCAUUGAAGGCAAAUGGUCUUGCAUGCUUGGGCAAGGGUGGUGGUAGUGGUGCCUUACACUCAUGAGCAAAGUGUCCUUCUUGACCACACUCAAAGCAUCUCUUUGGUUUUAGCUUGCUUGAUUGAUCAUGAGUAGCUAGUGACUUGAUGAGCUUUGUUUGAUGUGCCUUGUAGCCAAUUCCACUUUUGUCCAUCUUCAUGACGAUGUUCAUGAAAAGCUCACUUUGAAGGUCCUUCCCCUUUGUGAACUUUGCUAACCCCAUGGUUAGGUGUUCCUUCUCUUUCUUGAGCUUGUUGUUCUCUUGAGUUAGCCUCUUGAUGAUUGGGUCAUUGUUGCUUGCUAACUCAUCCAAGAUGAAUAUCUCAUCUUCUUCUUGCUUGUCAUACAUCAAACCAAGCUUGAGAUAUUGAUUUUCUUCUUUGAGCAACUUGUUCUCAUAUGCAAGCUUCUUGUCUUGAUCAAUUGACUCAAUCAUAUUGGUCUUGUGCUUGACUUGUUCUUGCAACUCUUUCUUGAGCAAGACAAUUUCAUUCUUGAGCUUGAUAGUGUCCUCAUAACUCUCGGCCACUACCACUUUCUUGCCCUUGCAAUCAACACAUUUGCUUGUGCUCUCCACAAGUAAGUCAUCACAAGAUGUGGCUACAUCAAGCUUAGCAACAUUGUUAGUAGCAACAUGUGUUUCAUCAAUUGCAAGUUCAUAAGCAAUCUCAAGGUUGUCAUAGUUUGCUUUUAGAGUUGUUAGUUCUUCUUUCAUUGCUCUAUAUCUAGUGAUAAGCUCAUCAUGAACACUCUCAAGUUUAUCAUGUUUUUCUUUGAGCUCUUUUAGAGAAAGUUUGAGCUCCUUGAGCUUAGUGGUCAUGAUCUCAUUUUGUUCUCUAAGCUCAUCACUAGAGUUAAGCUUUGCUAGAAGUGUAUCAUUUUCAAGUUCAAGCUUUUCAUUUUCACUUCUAGUCUUUCUUAUGACUUUUGUGUAUUUGUUUAGCAAUUUUACAAGUUCAUCAUAAGUAGGUGAUUCAUAUUCACUAUCACUUUCACUACUCUCAUCCUCACUUUGUACCUUCCGGUCACCUUUGGCCAUAAGGCAUAGGUGUGUAGAGGAUGUAGAUGAUGGUGAAGAUGAUGGUGAUGGAGCAUCAAUGGCGAUAGCGGCAACCUUCUCAUCAUCACUUUCAUUGCCGGAGGAGUCACCACUUGAGCUUUCAAUGUCGGUGAGCCAAUCACCAACAAUAUAAGCCUUGCCAUUUUUCUUCUUGUAGCGCUCCUUCUUGCCACCUUUCUUCUUGUAUUGCUUCUUGUCAUUUUUCUCAUCAUCACUUGAGUCAUCUUGCUCUUUGUUCUUCUUCUUGUACUUGUCCUUCUUGGGCUUUGGACAUUGAUGAGCAAGAUGACCAAGCUCACCACAAUUGUAGCAAUCCAUCUCAGAGAUGGGUUUCCUCUUGCUACUUGUGAAGAACUUCUUCUUGGAGUCAAAGUUGACUCCAUUCUUGUUGAGCUUCUUCAACAUUUUUGUGGUUCUUCUCACCAAGAGGGCAAUGGAUGCAUCAUCAUCACUUGAAGUUGAUGACUCAACUUCAAUCUUCUUGGCCUUGCCCUUGUGAGAAGCCUUGAGAGCCAAGUCCUUCUUUUCUUUCUUUGCCGACGAAGAGCCAUCUUGAGGGUUCAUGUGCAUGUACAUCUCGUGAGCAUUGAUCUUCCCCAAUAUGGUGGUUGGUGUAGCGGUGGAAAGAUCGCCUUGAUGAAGCACGGUUACUAUGUGCCCAUAUUUCUCAAUGGGAAGCACACAUAGUAUCUUCCUUGCAACAUUCGCCGUACUCAUUUGUGUAAGCCCAAGUCCAUUUAGCUCCUCUACAAUGACAUUCAAGCGAGAAUACAUUUCAUUAGCAUUUUCUUUAGGAAGCAUUUCAAAUGUAUUAAGCUUGUUCAUCACUAGGUGAUUGCGUUCCUCGCGUUCACUCUUAGUUCCCUCAUGGAGCGCACAAAGUUCCUUCCAAAGUUCAUUGGCGGUUUUGUGGCUCCGAACACGGUUGAACACCUCUUUGCAAAGACCUCUAAAGAUGUGGUUUUUGGCCUUUGCAUUCCACUUCUCGUUUUCUUGCUCUUGUGGAGUAAGAGCGGUGGCUCUUUCCGGAGGGGCAAACCCUUCGGUCGCGGCUUUUAGGCACUUUACAUCGCAUGCCUCAAGGUAUGACUCCAUCCGUAUUUUCCAAUACGGGAAGUCAUCCCCAUCGAACAUGGGUGGCGGUCCAUCCCCGUUAGACAUCUUUCUCUAGGCGGUGAAGCCUAAAUAAUGAGCACUAGGCUUUGAUACCAAUUGAAAGGAUCAAGAUGCCCAAGAGGGGGGGGUGAAUUGGGCUUCUCUAAAAAUUUAAGCAACCUAUAAGCUCCAAUUCAACCCCUUGUGCCUAGUGUGACUUAGAGAGCUACCAGAUAAAAAUUUUUGCAACCUAGUUCCAAUCCUAUUCUAGCAUGGCAAUUCUAAGAAUGUAAAAACACAAAGUAAAUGCUAGAAAGUAAAGGAGUAGUGGAAGAAAGUGCUCGGCGAUGUUUUGCCGAG
RNAcentral lists this long non-coding RNA (7486 nucleotides) under Sorghum bicolor (sorghum). RNAcentral's name for it is "long non-coding RNA (SBIC_LNC014820)". The record is from RNAcentral. Lineage: Eukaryota; Viridiplantae; Streptophyta; Magnoliopsida; Poales; Poaceae.